This 497-nucleotide ribosomal RNA is filed under the name uncultured bacterium. Its description in RNAcentral is "partial 16S ribosomal RNA". It matches the Rfam family "Bacterial small subunit ribosomal RNA", at positions 28 to 507 of the family's 1533-position model. The record is from RNAcentral.
GAUGAACGCUGGCGGCGUGCCUAAUACAUGCAAGUCGAGCGAACGGACGAGAAGCUUGCUUUUCUGAUGUUAGCGGCGGACGGGUGAGUAACACGUGGAUAACCUACCUAUAAGACUGGGAUAACUUCGGGAAACCGGAGCUAAUACCGGAUAAUAUUUUGAACCGCAUGGUUCAAAAGUGAAAGACGGUCUUGCUGUCACUUAUAGAUGGAUCCGCGCUGCAUUAGCUAGUUGGUAAGGUAACGGCUUACCAAGGCAACGAUGCAUAGCCGACCUGAGAGGGUGAUCGGCCACACUGGAACUGAGACACGGUCCAGACUCCUACGGGAGGCAGCAGUAGGGAAUCUUCCGCAAUGGGCGAAAGCCUGACGGAGCAACGCCGCGUGAGUGAUGAAGGUCUUCGGAGCGUAAAACUCUGUUAUUAGGGAAGAACAUAUGUGUAAGUAACUGUGCACAUCGUGACGGUACCUAAUCAGAAAGCCACGGCUAACUACGUG